Molecule: ribosomal RNA, 324 nt
Filed under: uncultured eukaryote
Lineage: Eukaryota
Description: partial 18S ribosomal RNA
Rfam family: Eukaryotic small subunit ribosomal RNA
Source: RNAcentral
CCCUUAGAUGUUCUGGGCCGCACGCGCGCUACACUGAUGCAUUCAACGAGUUUCUUCCUGGUCCGAGAGGAAUGGGUAACCUUUUGAAAGUGCAUCGUGAUAGGGAUAGACUAUUGCAAUUAUUGGUCUUCAACGAGGAAUUCCUAGUAGACGUAGUUCAUCAGACUGCAUCGAUUACGUCCCUGCCCUUUGUACACAUCGCCCGUCGCUCCUACCGAUUGAAUGCUCAGGUGAGCCAUUCGGACUUUCAUCAUGCUGGGUUCCAGUUUUGAUGAAGGAAAGUCUUGCGAACCUUAUCAUUUAGAGGAAGGAGAAGUCGUAACA